Molecule: ribosomal RNA, 505 nt
Filed under: uncultured bacterium
Lineage: Bacteria
Description: partial 16S ribosomal RNA
Rfam family: Bacterial small subunit ribosomal RNA
Source: RNAcentral
GACGAACGCUGGCGGCGUGCCUAAUACAUGCAAGUAGAACGCACAGUUUAUACCGUAGCUUGCUACACCAUAGACUGUGAGUUGCGAACGGGUGAGUAACGCGUAGGUAACCUGCCUGGUAGCGGGGGAUAACUAUUGGAAACGAUAGCUAAUACCGCAUAAUAUUAAUUAUUGCAUGAUAAUUAAUUGAAAGGUGCAAUUGCACCACUACCAGAUGGACCUGCGUUGUAUUAGCUAGUAGGUGAGGUAACGGCUCACCUAGGCGACGAUACAUAGCCGACCUGAGAGGGUGAUCGGCCACACUGGGACUGAGACACGACCCAGACUCCUACGGGAGUCAGCAGUAGGGAAUCUUCGGCAAUGGACGAAAGUCUGACCGAGCAACGCCGCGUGAGUGAAGAAGGUUUUCGGAUCGUAAAGCUCUGUUGUAAGAGAAGAACGGGUGUGAGAGUGGAAAGUUCACACUGUGACGGUAUCUUACCAGAAAGGGAGGGCUAACUACGUG